CUCCAAUAGCGUAUAUUAAAGUUGUUGCAGUUAAAACGCUCGUAGUCUGAUGUAAUGGGGACUGGAGUGGGGAGCAGCGAUGCUCUGUGCUUUGGUCCUCAUCAGCGGGCCAGCAAUGGCCAGUUUACUUUGAGGAAAUUAGAGUGUUCAAAGCAGGCAAUUGCUUGAAUACUGCAGCAUGGAAUAAUGGAAUAGGACUC
This 200-nucleotide ribosomal RNA is filed under the name uncultured eukaryote. Its description in RNAcentral is "partial 18S ribosomal RNA". It matches the Rfam family "Eukaryotic small subunit ribosomal RNA", at positions 589 to 830 of the family's 1831-position model. The record is from RNAcentral.